This 494-nucleotide ribosomal RNA is filed under the name uncultured bacterium. RNAcentral describes it as "partial 16S ribosomal RNA". It matches the Rfam family "Bacterial small subunit ribosomal RNA", at positions 29 to 507 of the family's 1533-position model. The record is from RNAcentral.
ACGAACGCUGGCGGCGUGCCUAAUCCAUGCAAGUAGAACGCUGAAGGAGGAGCUUGCUCUUCUGGAUGAGUUGCGAACGGGUGAGUAACGCGUAGGUAACCUGCCUGGUAGCGGGGGAUAACUAUUGGAAACGAUAGCUAAUACCGCAUAAGAGUAGAUGUUGCAUGACAUUUGCUUAAAAGGUGCAAUUGCAUCACUACCAGAUGGACCUGCGUUGUAUUAGCUAGUUGGUGGGGUAACGGCUCACCAAGGCGACGAUACAUAGCCGACCUGAGAGGGUGAUCGGCCACACUGGGACUGAGACACGGCCCAGACUCCUACGGGAGGCAGCAGUAGGGAAUCUUCGGCAAUGGACGGAAGUCUGACCGAGCAACGCCGCGUGAGUGAAGAAGGUUUUCGGAUCGUAAAGCUCUGUUGUAAGAGAAGAACGAGUGUGAGAGUGGAAAGUUCACACUGUGACGGUAUCUUACCAGAAAGGGACGGCUAACUACGUG